Lathyrus oleraceus (garden pea) is the source of this 853-nucleotide long non-coding RNA. RefSeq lists it as uncharacterized. Lineage: Eukaryota; Viridiplantae; Streptophyta; Magnoliopsida; Fabales; Fabaceae. The transcript is spliced from 2 exons. The record is from RefSeq and is a predicted model, not a curated record.
UGGGCCUGAAUACAAGCACUAUUCUUGAGGCCCAGCCAAAAAAGGGUGUACGCCAUCAAUGGAGGGUGUGAACCGGGAAAUGCUUGGUCCUGUUAUGGCCUCAAUCCCAAACUCUACAGACUAAUACAUACACCAAUGAACUCAAUCCAAAUCUAAGGGUAUGUCAGCAUCAUUCGUUCGGCAACGCUUUGUUUCGAUUCCAUAAAUCUGUCUUCGAGAAAAACUCAAUCGCGAACCACACAACGCGUGACUCUUCUUUGGCAUAAUCAUUGGCGUCUGAAUCGAUUCAUCAUCUUCAUCGAACAAGAUUUACAAUAUCCUCAUUAGGAUCUAGUUCUCCGUAUCAAAGAGAACAUGUGGAUGUCGUUCGAGAUUGCCCAAAAAAUCAUGCUUGUUGAGAAGUUCGGAUGCAGAAAAGAGAUAAGAGCACAGUGAAGCUCUUGGUCACAAGUGAUGGAUAAUAAUAAAUUAAGCGAGGAAUCACCGAAGCAUGUACCAAUAGGGAGCUCCGAUGCGGUGGCUCGACGGUGAUCACUUCACAGGUUGUCGAUUUCUGUUGUUAAACCUGCUUUGGCGUUUCGUGCUGCUAUGCAUUUCAUGCUUUGGACCUCUCCGUUUGGCAUUCCCACUUAUGUCGUGCUGCAGAUUAUUUUGGUAUACAACUUGGUUAAACUACCUGCAUUUUGUCGUUGUGUUCUGUGUCUUGCCAUUUCGUUGGUACUUGCACUGCCAGACACGUGAUGGGCUAACUUGUGAAACAUAGAUAUGGAUACUGGUUGUAGGUUAAGGAUGAAUGGAUACUUAACAUUGAUAUUGGUUAUUGGCAUGGUAAUUGGUUGUUUACAUGAUAAAU